RNAcentral lists this ribosomal RNA (254 nucleotides) under uncultured bacterium. RNAcentral describes it as "partial 16S ribosomal RNA". It matches the Rfam family "Bacterial small subunit ribosomal RNA", at positions 524 to 776 of the family's 1533-position model. The record is from RNAcentral.
UACAGAGGGUGCAAACGUUUGUUCGGAUUUACUGGGCGUAAAGCGCGUGUAGGCUGCUUCGCAAGUCGGAUGUGAAAGGCCUGGGCUCAACCUGGGAAUGGCAUCCGAUACGGCGGGGCUGGAGUGUGGGAGAGGUUGGUGGAAUUCCCAGUGUAGAGGUGAAAUUCGUAGAUAUUGGGAAGAACACCGGUGGCGAAGGCGGCCAACUGGACCACAACUGACGCUGAGGCGCGAAAGCGUGGGGAGCAAACAGG